GGCUUAACACAUGCAAGUCGAGGGGCAGCAUGGUCUUAGCUUGCUAAGGCCGAUGGCGACCGGCGCACGGGUGAGUAACACGUAUCCAACCUGCCGUCUACUCUUGGACAGCCUUCUGAAAGGAAGAUUAAUACAAGAUGGCAUCAUGAGUCCGCAUGUUCACAUGAUUAAAGGUAUUCCGGUAGACGAUGGGGAUGCGUUCCAUUAGAUAGUAGGCGGGGUAACGGCCCACCUAGUCUUCGAUGGAUAGGGGUUCUGAGAGGAAGGUCCCCCACAUUGGAACUGAGACACGGUCCAAACUCCUACGGGAGGCAGCAGUGAGGAAUAUUGGUCAAUGGGCGAGAGCCUGAACCAGCCAAGUAGCGUGAAGGAUGACUGCCCUAUGGGUUGUAAACUUCUUUUAUAAAGGAAUAAAGUCGGGUAUGCAUACCCGUUUGCAUGUACUUUAUGAAUAAGGAUCGGCUAACUCCGUGCCAGCAGCCGCGGUAAUACGGAGGAUCCGAGCGUUAUCCGGAUUUAUUGGGUUUAAAGGGAGCGUAGAUGGAUGUUUAAGUCAGUUGUGAAAGUUUGCGGCUCAACCGUAAAAUUGCAGUUGAUACUGGAUAUCUUGAGUGCAGUUGAGGCAGGCGGAAUUCGUGGUGUAGCGGUGAAAUGCUUAGAUAUCACGAAGAACUCCGAUUGCGAAGGCAGCCUGCUAAGCUGCAACUGACAUUGAGGCUCGAAAGUGUGGGUAUCAAACAGGAUUAGAUACCCUGGUAGUCCACACGGUAAACGAUGAAUACUCGCUGUUUGCGAUAUACAGCAAGCGGCCAAGCGAAAGCGUUAAGUAUUCCACCUGGGGAGUACGCCGGCAACGGUGAAACUCAAAGGAAUUGACGGGGGCCCGCACAAGCGGAGGAACAUGUGGUUUAAUUCGAUGAUACGCGAGGAACCUUACCCGGGCUUAAAUUGCAGAUGAAUUACGGUGAAAGCCGUAAGCCGCAAGGCAUCUGUGAAGGUGCUGCAUGGUUGUCGUCAGCUCGUGCCGUGAGGUGUCGGCUUAAGUGCCAUAACGAGCGCAACCCUUGUUGUCAGUUACUAACAGGUUCCGCUGAGGACUCUGACAAGACUGCCAUCGUAAGAUGUGAGGAAGGUGGGGAUGACGUCAAAUCAGCACGGCCCUUACGUCCGGGGCUACACACGUGUUACAAUGGGGGGUACAGAGGGCCGCUACCACGCGAGUGGAUGCCAAUCCCAAAAACCUCUCUCAGUUCGGACUGGAGUCUGCAACCCGACUCCACGAAGCUGGAUUCGCUAGUAAUCGCGCAUCAGCCACGGCGCGGUGAAUACGUUCCCGGGCCUUGUACACACCGCCCGUCAAGCCAUGGGAGCCGGGGGUACCUGAAGUGCGUAACCGCGAGGAGCGCCCUAGGGUAAAACUGGUGACUGGGGCUAAGUCGU
This 1440-nucleotide ribosomal RNA is filed under the name uncultured organism. RNAcentral describes it as "SSU rRNA". It matches the Rfam family "Bacterial small subunit ribosomal RNA". The record is from RNAcentral.